RNAcentral lists this small nucleolar RNA (69 nucleotides) under Mus musculus (house mouse). RNAcentral describes it as "Small nucleolar RNA SNORA17". It matches the Rfam family "Small nucleolar RNA SNORA17", at positions 59 to 132 of the family's 132-position model. From Rfam's summary of the family: snoRNA ACA 17 belongs to the H/ACA family of snoRNAs and is predicted to guide pseudouridylation of the 28S rRNA at positions U4659 and U4598. It shares the same host gene together with ACA43. The record is from Rfam by way of RNAcentral. Lineage: Eukaryota; Metazoa; Chordata; Mammalia; Rodentia; Muridae.
UCGAGAAUAGAAAUGUCUACACUCAGUGUUCUGGCGUAUGGAUGUCUGAAUGAUUAGUAGCCUAGCAUU